CUACGGGUUGCAGCAGUGAGGAAUAUUGCACAAUGGGGGGAACCCUGAUGCAGCAACGCCGCGUGGAGGAUGACGCAUUUCGGUGUGUAAACUCCUUUUAUAUGUCAAGAAAUGACGGUAGCAUAUGAAUAAGCACCGGCUAACUCCGUGCCAGCAGCCGCGGUAAUACGGAGGGUGCAAGCGUUACUCGGAAUCACUGGGCGUAAAGGACGCGUAGGCGGGUUGGAAAGUCAGGUGUGAAAUCCUACAGCUUAACCGUAGAACUGCACUUGAAACUUCUAAUCUAGAGUAUGGGAGGGGGAGAUGGAAUUAGUGGUGUAGGGGUAAAAUCCGUAGAUAUCACUAGGAAUACCUAAAGCGAAGGCGAUCUCCUGGAACAUUACUGACGCUAAGGCGUGAAAGCGUGGGGAGCAAACAGGAUUAGAUACCCUAGUAGUC
This 438-nucleotide ribosomal RNA is filed under the name uncultured bacterium. RNAcentral describes it as "partial 16S ribosomal RNA". It matches the Rfam family "Bacterial small subunit ribosomal RNA", at positions 339 to 795 of the family's 1533-position model. The record is from RNAcentral.